RNAcentral lists this ribosomal RNA (466 nucleotides) under uncultured bacterium. Its description in RNAcentral is "partial 16S ribosomal RNA". It matches the Rfam family "Bacterial small subunit ribosomal RNA", at positions 28 to 505 of the family's 1533-position model. The record is from RNAcentral.
GAUGAACGCUGGCGGCGUGCUUAACACAUGCAAGUCGAACGGAAAGGCCCAAGCUUGCUUGGGUACUCGAGUGGCGAACGGGUGAGUAACACGUGGGUGAUCUGCCCUGCACUUCGGGAUAAGCCUGGGAAACUGGGUCUAAUACCGGAUAGGACGAUGGUUUGGAUGCCAUUGUGGAAAGUUUUUUCGGUGUGGGAUGAGCUCGCGGCCUAUCAGCUUGUUGGUGGGGUAAUGGCCUACCAAGGCGUCGACGGGUAGCCGGCCUGAGAGGGUGUACGGCAAAAUUGGGACUAAGAAAGGGCCAAGCCUGCAAGGGGAGACAAAGGGGGGAAAUUUUGCAAAAUGGGGGCAAGCCGGAGGAAGGGACGCCGGGGGGGGGAUGCGGGCCUUGGGGUUGUAAACUCCUUUCGCUGGGGACAAAGUGUUUUUGAGGGGGUACCUGGAAAAAAAGCCCCGGAAAACUAGG